Molecule: ribosomal RNA, 505 nt
Filed under: uncultured bacterium
Lineage: Bacteria
Description: partial 16S ribosomal RNA
Rfam family: Bacterial small subunit ribosomal RNA
Source: RNAcentral
GACGAACGCCGGCGGCGUGCCUAAUACAUGCCAGUAGAACGCACAGUUUAUACCGUAGCUUGCUACACCAUAAACUGUGAGUUGCGAACGGGUGAGUAACGCGUAGGUAACCUGCCUGGUAGCGGGGGAUAACUAUUGGAAACGAUAGCUAAUACCGCAUAAUAUUAAUUAUUGCAUGAUAAUUGAUUGAAAGAUGCAAUUGCAUCACUACCAGAUGGACCUGCGUUGUAUUAGCUAGUAGGUGAGGUAACGGCUCACCUAGGCGACGAUACAUAGCCGACCUGAGAGGGUGAUCGGCCACACUGGGACUGAGACACGGCCCAGACUCCUACGGGAGGCAGCAGUAGGGAAUCUUCGGCAAUGGACGAAAGUCUGACCGAGCAACGCCGCGUGAGUGAAGAAGGUUUUCGGAUCGUAAAGCUCUGUUGUAAGAGAAGAACGGGUGUGAGAGUGGAAAGUUCACACUGUGACGGUAUCUUACCAGAAAGGGACGGCUAACUACGUG